RNAcentral lists this ribosomal RNA (500 nucleotides) under Flavobacterium sp. BACT-27. RNAcentral's name for it is "bacterial SSU rRNA". It matches the Rfam family "Bacterial small subunit ribosomal RNA", at positions 83 to 581 of the family's 1533-position model. Lineage: Bacteria; Pseudomonadati; Bacteroidota; Flavobacteriia; Flavobacteriales; Flavobacteriaceae. The record is from RNAcentral.
GCUUCUUUGAGACCGGCGCACGGGUGCGUAACGCGUAUGCAAUCUACCUUUCACAAAGGGAUAGCCCAGAGAAAUUUGGAUUAAUACCUUAUAGUAAUACGACUUGGCAUCAAGAUGUAUUUAAAGAUUUAUCGGUGAAAGAUGAGCAUGCGUCCCAUUAGCUAGUUGGUAUGGUAACGGCAUACCAAGGCUACGAUGGGUAGGGGUCCUGAGAGGGAGAUCCCCCACACUGGUACUGAGACACGGACCAGACUCCUACGGGAGGCAGCAGUGAGGAAUAUUGGACAAUGGGCGCAAGCCUGAUCCAGCCAUGCCGCGUGCAGGAUGACGGUCCUAUGGAUUGUAAACUGCUUUUAUACAGGAAGAAACACCUCUACGUGUAGAGACUUGACGGUACUGUAAGAAUAAGGAUCGGCUAACUCCGUGCCAGCAGCCGCGGUAAUACGGAGGAUCCAAGCGUUAUCCGGAAUCAUUGGGUUUAAAGGGUCCGUAGGCGGUCA